CUGCCUGCUCUUCCAAAGGUCCUGA
RNAcentral lists this non-coding RNA (25 nucleotides) under Cricetulus griseus (Chinese hamster). Lineage: Eukaryota; Metazoa; Chordata; Mammalia; Rodentia; Cricetidae. The record is from RNAcentral.